This 301-nucleotide ribosomal RNA is filed under the name uncultured bacterium. RNAcentral describes it as "partial 16S ribosomal RNA". It matches the Rfam family "Bacterial small subunit ribosomal RNA", at positions 509 to 807 of the family's 1533-position model. The record is from RNAcentral.
CAGUAGCCGCGGGAAUACAGAGGGUGCGAGCGUUAAUCGGAUUUACUGGGCGUAAAGCGUGCGUAGGCGGCUUUUUAAGUCGGAUGUGAAAUCCCUGAGCUUAACUUAGGAAUUGCAUUCGAUACUGGGAAGCUAGAGUAUGGGAGAGGAUGGUAGAAUUCCAGGUGUAGCGGUGAAAUGCGUAGAGAUCUGGAGGAAUACCGAUGGCGAAGGCAGCCAUCUGGCCUAAUACUGACGCUGAGGUACGAAAGCAUGGGGAGCAAACAGGAUUAGAGACCCCCGUAGUCCCUGUCUCUUAUAC